AAAGCGUGCGCAGGCGGUUUUGUAAGUCAGAUGUGAAAUCCCCGAGCUCAACUUGGGAACUGCGUUUGAAACUACAAGGCUAGAGUAUGGUAGAGGGGGGUAGAAUUCCACGUGUAGCAGUGAAAUGCGUAGAGAUGUGGAGGAAUACCAAUGGCGAAGGCAGCCCCCUGGACUAAUACUGACGCUCAUGCACGAAAGCGUGGGGAGCAAACAGGAUUAGAUACCCUUGU
This 230-nucleotide ribosomal RNA is filed under the name uncultured bacterium. RNAcentral describes it as "partial 16S ribosomal RNA". It matches the Rfam family "Bacterial small subunit ribosomal RNA", at positions 562 to 791 of the family's 1533-position model. The record is from RNAcentral.